CAUCCACUAAUCAUGAUAGGAGAAGCCUGCAAUGCACUUUGCACAGCAGUUGCCAUUUCAAAUUCAACAAAGCCAAAGCAAAAUCCCUUUUGAGAUCUAACUUGAAUACCACCAGACCUAAUAGGUCCAAACUUCUUAAAUUCAUUCUCAAGUAGGGCAGGUGUAGCAUCUAAAGGCAGGCCUUUCACAUAGAUGGAAGGACCUCCAGCUUCAUUCUCUUGGGCAUUCCCAUUUUCAGUAGCAUUUGAAUUGGAGAUGUGUGCCUCAGUUGCCAGUGCAGGAGUUACUGCAGCAGUGACUUGUUCUUGGCUUUUUGGUGCAGACCUCAGAGGAUAAGGAGCAGGGCUUGAAAAGGGUGCAGUGUUCUCCUUCAUAACUUUCACAAUGGAUGCAUAUGACUUUUUU
Molecule: unclassified non-coding RNA, 405 nt
Filed under: Hevea brasiliensis (rubber tree)
Lineage: Eukaryota; Viridiplantae; Streptophyta; Magnoliopsida; Malpighiales; Euphorbiaceae
Source: RNAcentral